GGUCAAGUUAUUAAGGGUGCAGGGCGGAUGCCUUGGCACUAGGAGCCGAUGAAGGACGUGAUAAGCUGCGAUAAGCUUCGGGGAGUUGCACGUAAACUUUGAUCCGAAGAUUUCCGAAUGAGGAAACUCACUUAGAGUAAUGUCUAAGUAUCAUUAAGUGAAUACAUAGCUUAAUGAGGGGAACUCAGGGAACUGAAACAUCUAAGUACCUGAAGGAAGAGAAAGAAAUUCGAUUCCGUAAGUAGCGGCGAGCGAACGCGGAUUAGCCCAAACCAAUAAAGUUUUCUUUAUUGGGGUUGCGGACAUAUCAUAACGAAGAGGUAUCGUAAUUGAAGAGGUUUGGAAAGACCCACCACAGAAGGUAAUAGUCCUGUAUGUUAAACGAGAAGACUUUAGAUAUGAUCCAGAGUACCACGGGACACGUGAAACCCUGUGGGAAGCAGGAGGGACCACCCUCCAAGGCUAAAUACUACCUAGUGACCGAUAGCGUAUAGUACCGUGAGGGAAAGGUGAAAAGAACCCCGGGAGGGGAGUGAAAUAGAACCUGAAACCCUGCACUUACAAGCUGUGGAAGCACAUUUCUUGUGUGACCGCGUACUUUUUGUAGAACGGGCCAACGAGUUACGUUAAGUAGCAAGGUUAAGCACUUAAGGUGCGGAGCCGUAGCGAAAGCGAGUUUUAACUGAGCGUUCAGUUACUUGACGUAGACCCGAAACCGGGCGACCUACCCAUGAGCAGGAUGAAGCGAAAGUAAAAUUUCGUGGAGGUCCGAACCCACGAGCGUUGAAAAGCUCGGGGAUGACUUGUGGGUAGCGGUGAAAUUCCAAUCGAGCCCGGAGAUAGCUGGUUCUCCCCGAAAUAGCUUUAGGGCUAGCCUCAAGGUGAGAGAUACGGAGGUAGAGCACUGAAUGUCCUAGGGGGUAUUGCACCUACCGAAGACUAUCAAACUCCGAAUGCCGUCAUCUUAUACUUGGGAGUCAGACUGUGGGUGAUAAGAUUCAUAGUCGAAAGGGCAACAGCCCAGAUCGUCAGCUAAGGUCCCUAAAUGUAAGUUAAGUGGUAAAGGAUGUGGGAUUGCACAGACAACCAGGAUGUUGGCUUAGAAGCAGCCACUCAUUCAAAGAGUGCGUAAUAGCUCACUGGUCGAGUGAUCCUGCGCCGAAGAUUUCCGGGGCUAAAACUUACUACCGAAGCUACGGCAUCAGUAAUGAUGGGUAGGGGAGCUUCCCAUACGGGUUGAAGCAUGACCGUAAGGACAUGUGGACAGUAUGGGAGUGAGAAUGUUGGCAUGAGUAGCGAGAUGUGGGUGAGAAUCCCACAGGCCGUAAACCCAAGGUUUCCAGGGGAAGGUUCGUCCGCCCUGGGUUAGUCGGGACCUAAGCUGAGGCCGAAAGGCGUAGGUGAUGGACAACAGGUUGAUAUUCCUGUACUACCGAUAACCGUUUGAGAGAAGGGAUGACACAGUAGGAUAAGCUAAGCACACUGUUGGUUAUGUGUGCCCAAGCAUUGAGGCAGUCAAAGUAGGCAAAUCCGCUUUGAUAAUGCUGGGAUGUGAUGGGGAGCGAAAUUUAGUAGCGAAGUAGCUGAUUUCACACUGUCAAGAAAAGUCUCUAUCGAGGUUAAAGGUACCCGUACCGCAAACCGACACAGGUGGGUGAGGAGAGUAUCCUAAGGCCAGCGAGAGAACUGUUGUUAAGGAACUCGGCAAAAUGACCCCGUAACUUAGGGAUAAGGGGUGCCACCAUCAGGUGGCCGCAGAGAAUAGGCCCAAGCGACUGUUUACCAAAAACAUAGGUUUCUGCUAAGUCGCAAGACGAUGUAUAGGAGCUGACGCCUGCCCGGUGCUGGAAGGUUAAGGGGAUCUGUUAGAGCAAUCGAAGCAGUGAACUUAAGCCCCAGUAAACGGCGGCCGUAACUAUAACGGUCCUAAGGUAGCGAAAUUCCUUGUCGGGUAAGUUCCGACCCGCACGAAAGGCGUAACGAUUUGGGCACUGUCUCAACAACAGACUCGGUGAAAUUGUAAUUCCGGUGAAGAUGCCGGAUACCUGCGACAGGACGGAAAGACCCCAUGGAGCUUUACUGUAGCUUGACAUUGGGUCUUGGUACUACAUGUACAGGAUAGGUGGGAGGCUUUGAAACCAGGACGCCAGUUUUGGCGGAGCCAUCCUUGGGAUACCACCCUUGUAGUACUGGGACUCUAACCAUAGGCCAUGAAUCUGGUCUUGGGACACUGUCAGGUGGGCAGUUUGACUGGGGCGGUCGCCUCCCAAAAGGUAACGGAGGCGCUCAAAGGUUCUCUCAGUACGGUCGGAAAUCGUACGUAGAGUGUAAAGGCAAAAGAGAGCUUGAUUGCAAGACAUACAGGUCGAGCAAGGAUGAAAAUCGGACUUAGUGAUCCGGUGGUUCUGCGUGGAAGGGCCAUCGCUCAACGGAUAAAAGCUACCCUGGGGAUAACAGGCUUAUCUCCCCCAAGAGUCCACAUCGACGGGGAGGUUUGGCACCUCGAUGUCGGCUCAUCACAUCCUGGGGCUGUAGUAGGUCCCAAGGGUUGGGCUGUUCGCCCAUUAAAGUGGUACGCGAGCUGGGUUCAGAACGUCGUGAGACAGUUCGGUCCCUAUCCGUCGCAGGCGUAGGAAAUUUGAGAAGACCUGUCCUUAGUACGAGAGGACCGGGAUGGACG
This 2680-nucleotide ribosomal RNA is filed under the name Clostridioides difficile. RNAcentral's name for it is "partial 23S ribosomal RNA". It matches the Rfam family "Bacterial large subunit ribosomal RNA". Lineage: Bacteria; Bacillati; Bacillota; Clostridia; Peptostreptococcales; Peptostreptococcaceae. The record is from RNAcentral.